UUACGGCCAUAUCACGUCGAAAUACCGGUUCCCGUACGAUCAACGAAGUUAAGUAACGUUGAGUCUGGUCAGUAGCUCGAUGGGUGACU
Non-coding RNA from Acanthosepion pharaonis, 89 nucleotides. Lineage: Eukaryota; Metazoa; Mollusca; Cephalopoda; Sepiida; Sepiidae. The record is from the annotation of a GenBank genome assembly.